UCAUGAGUCACCCAAACGUUGCCUGAAGGCUAGUGAGGAGGCCCAGAGGGAAGCAGAGGAAUCCAUGGGAGGCAAGCAGUGGUAAAGAAGAAAGGCAGCACCUCUCGUACUUUCAACAUAAAGACGACGAGGAUAAAGGCAUUUAUGAUGAACUACUUCCACAUAAUGAAUAAUUGAACAAAGGAGAGAAUUGUGAGAGUGAGAAAAAGUGAGACAAAGAAGAAAAACUAUAAAUCAGCAAAAUACAGUGCCAAGAGCUCUGGACCACAAAUCAGAAGACCUGAGCCCUAAUUCCUUUCCAGUCAUUGGAUUUGUUCGUCGCUUGCCAAAAUAGCAGCGAACUCUCUGUCAAACUGCAACUCAUUUUAUCGGAGCAAAAACUGAACAAAGAACUGCUAUCAUUUCUGAGAAUUGAAAAGUACUUUCACAGUUUGUGCAUUACCAAUUCCA
Molecule: long non-coding RNA, 450 nt
Filed under: Homo sapiens (human)
Lineage: Eukaryota; Metazoa; Chordata; Mammalia; Primates; Hominidae
Description: HSALNT0192135
Source: RNAcentral